CACCAGAUAGAGCAAAAACGAGUAGAGGCUGUGGACAUCAAUGGAUCUAUCCUCUCUUGCCAUUUUGUGUGAUAUCCUGCAUCCUCUUCAAUGAAAUGGUAGCCCCUAAACACUUUUAACUCCACCAUUAAAUAGCCUGUUCCACACCUAGACCGUCUACCCUGAAUGAUGCCUGUGAUGAGAAGCUCACGCUACUCUUAAAUGAAUGUAGGGAGUUCUGUCUCGAUAGUGUUGCUUUUUCAGGUUUGAGAUGAAGAGUAUGGAGCCGAUUUUUGAACAGCAGUCAGUGGGGUUCC
RNAcentral lists this long non-coding RNA (296 nucleotides) under Brassica napus (rape). RNAcentral's name for it is "long non-coding RNA (BNAP_LNC015829)". The record is from RNAcentral. Lineage: Eukaryota; Viridiplantae; Streptophyta; Magnoliopsida; Brassicales; Brassicaceae.